UACGGAGGGAGCUAGCGUUGUUCGGAUAUACUGGGCGUAAAGCGCACGUAGGCGGCGCAGCAAGUCAGGGGUGAAAUCCCGGAGCUCAACUCCGGAACUGCCUUUGAAACUGCAGUGCUAGAAUCCUGGAGAGGCGAGUGGAAUUCCGAGUGUAGAGGUGAAAUUCGUAGAUAUUCGGAAGAACACCAGUGGCGAAGGCGACUCGCUGGACAGGUAUUGACGCUGAGGUGCGAAAGCGUGGGGAGCAAACAGGG
RNAcentral lists this ribosomal RNA (254 nucleotides) under uncultured bacterium. RNAcentral describes it as "partial 16S ribosomal RNA". It matches the Rfam family "Bacterial small subunit ribosomal RNA", at positions 524 to 777 of the family's 1533-position model. The record is from RNAcentral.